Molecule: small nucleolar RNA, 140 nt
Organism: Bufo bufo (common toad)
Lineage: Eukaryota; Metazoa; Chordata; Amphibia; Anura; Bufonidae
Product: small nucleolar RNA SNORD10
Exons: 1
Source: RefSeq, a predicted model, not a curated record
AGUUCUGAUGAUGAUAUCCCAUGCGUGUCAUCUGAGGCCCAUGUCUCUCUGCAGCAGCUCUUUGGUCUGCGUCCUGCAGGCCAGAACAGUCUGGGGCAGAGGAUUCUGGGGAAAAUGAUCACCAUUUAUAUCUGAAAACU